CCUACGGGUGGCUGCAGUGGGGAAUAUUGGACAAUGGGCGAAAGCCUGAUCCAGCCAUGCCGCGUGUGUGAAGAAGGCCUUCGGGUUGUAAAGCACUUUCAGUGGGGAAGAAAGCCUUGGGGCUAAUACCCUCGAGGAAGGACAUCACCCACAGAAGAAGCACCGGCUAACUCCAUGCCAGCAGCCGCGGUAAUACGGAGGGUGCGAGCGUUAAUCGGAAUUACUGGGCGUAAAGCGCGCGUAGGCGGUCUGAUAAGCCGGUUGUGAAAGCCCCGGGCUCAACCUGGGAACGGCAUCCGGAACUGUCAGGCUAGAGUGCAGGAGAGGAAGGUAGAAUUCCCGGUGUAGCGGUGAAAUGCGUAGAGAUCGGGAGGAAUACCAGUGGCGAAGGCGGCCUUCUGGACUGACACUGACGCUGAGGUGCGAAAGCGUGGGUAGCAAACAGGAUUAGAUACCCCUGUAGUC
RNAcentral lists this ribosomal RNA (465 nucleotides) under Vreelandella stevensii. RNAcentral describes it as "partial 16S ribosomal RNA". It matches the Rfam family "Bacterial small subunit ribosomal RNA", at positions 338 to 795 of the family's 1533-position model. The record is from RNAcentral. Lineage: Bacteria; Pseudomonadati; Pseudomonadota; Gammaproteobacteria; Oceanospirillales; Halomonadaceae.